UACGUAGGGGGGCUAGCGUUGUCCGGAAUCAUUGGGCGUAAAGAGCGUGUAGGCGGUCCGGUAAGUCCGCUGUGAAAGUCGGGGGCUCAACCCUCGAAUGCCGGUGGAUACUGUCGGGCUAGAGUACGGAAGAGGCGAGUGGAAUUCCUGGUGUAGCGGUGAAAUGCGCAGAUAUCAGGAGGAACACCUAUUGCGAAGGCAGCUCGCUGGGACGUAACUGACGCCUGAGACGCGAAAGCGUGGGGAGCAAACAGG
This 255-nucleotide ribosomal RNA is filed under the name uncultured bacterium. RNAcentral's name for it is "partial 16S ribosomal RNA". It matches the Rfam family "Bacterial small subunit ribosomal RNA", at positions 524 to 776 of the family's 1533-position model. The record is from RNAcentral.